Molecule: long non-coding RNA, 363 nt
Organism: Anas platyrhynchos (mallard)
Lineage: Eukaryota; Metazoa; Chordata; Aves; Anseriformes; Anatidae
Source: RefSeq, a predicted model, not a curated record
GCCACAUUUGGCACAAGCUCAUUGAACCCAAGGCAGGCUCAUGGACACAGGACAGAUUCUGUCCCUACAGUCCUUGGGGCACAAGCUCUGGGUGGCCGUGCUACCACCUCUACCCACCCUCAUACCUGCUGCCAGCCAAACCAGCCCCUCCAGUGAAGCUCAGGGAGGAUGACGGGACCCAAGGAGCCUUUGGGACUGGAUCCAGCCCCGUUGGAUCCUGGCACUGGGGACCUUACCUGCUGCUGAAGAAAGGUUGAAGAAAGGGGAGGGGGAGAGAAAGGAGAACAGCCUGAACUCAUCAAGGCAUUCACAGCCUGGCUUCCCUCCUCUCUGAUUUUGUUUAAAUUAAGCCAUCUGCCCACA